CAGCCCGGUAAUUCCAGCUCCAAUAGCGUAUAUUAAAGUUGUUGCAGUUAAAAAGCUCGUAGUUGAAUUUCGGGGUUAGUAGGUUGGUCAUGCCUCUGGUAUGUACUGGUCUCACUGAUUCCUCCUUCCUGAUGAGCCGUAAUGCCAUUAAUUUGGUGUUGCGGGGAAUUUGGACUGUUACUUUGAAAAAAUUAGAGUGUUUAAAGCAAGCUAACGCUUGAAUACAUUAGCAUGGAAUAAUGAAAUAGGACGUUCGAUCCUAUUUUGUUGGUUUCUAGGAUUGACGUAAUGAUUAAUAGGGAUAGUUGGUGGCAUUAGUAUUCAAUUGUCAGAGGUGAAAUUCUUGGAUUUAUUGAAGACUAACUACUGCGAAAGCAUUUGCCAAGGAUGUUUUCAUUAAUCAAGAACGAAAGUUAGGGGAUCGAAGACGAUCAGAUACCGUCGUAGUCUUAACCAUAAACUAUGCCGACUAGGGAUCGGAUGAUGUUAAUUUUUUAAUGACUCAUUCGGCGCCUUACG
Molecule: unclassified non-coding RNA, 519 nt
Filed under: uncultured Glomeromycotina
Lineage: Eukaryota; Fungi; Glomeromycota
Description: SSU rRNA
Rfam family: Eukaryotic small subunit ribosomal RNA
Source: RNAcentral